CCUACGGGCGGCUGCAGUUGGGAAUAUUGCACAAUGGGCGCAAGCCUGAUGCAGCCAUGCCGCGUGUGUGAAGAAGGCCUUCGGGUUGUAAAGCACUUUCAGCGGGGCGGAAGGCGGUGAGGUUAAUAACCUCAUCGAUUGACGUUACCCGCAGAAGAAGCACCGGCUAACUCCGUGCCAGCAGCCGCGGUAAUACGGAGGGUGCAAGCGUUAAUCGGAAUUACUGGGCGUAAAGCGCACGCAGGCGGUCUGUCAAGUCGGAUGUGAAAUCCCCGGGCUCAACCUGGGAACUGCAUUCGAAACUGGCAGGCUAGAGUCUUGUAGAGGGGGGUAGAAUUCCAGGUGUAGCGGUGAAAUGCGUAGAGAUCUGGAGGAAUACCGGUGGCGAAGGCGGCCCCCUGGACAAAGACUGACGCUCAGGUGCGAAAGCGUGGGGAGCAAACAGGAUUAGAUACCCCAGUAGUC
This 465-nucleotide ribosomal RNA is filed under the name uncultured Klebsiella sp. Its description in RNAcentral is "bacterial SSU rRNA". It matches the Rfam family "Bacterial small subunit ribosomal RNA", at positions 338 to 795 of the family's 1533-position model. Lineage: Bacteria; Pseudomonadati; Pseudomonadota; Gammaproteobacteria; Enterobacterales; Enterobacteriaceae. The record is from RNAcentral.